RNAcentral lists this ribosomal RNA (377 nucleotides) under uncultured bacterium. RNAcentral describes it as "bacterial SSU rRNA". It matches the Rfam family "Bacterial small subunit ribosomal RNA", at positions 790 to 1167 of the family's 1533-position model. The record is from RNAcentral.
GUAGUCCACGCUGUAAACGAUGAUCACUAGAUGUCGGGGCACUUACCGCCUCGGUGUCGUAGCUAACGCGUUAAGUGAUCCGCCUGGGAAUUACGGCCGCAAGGUUAAAACUCAAAGAAAUUGACGGGGGCCCGCACAAGCAGUGGAGUAUGUGGUUUAAUUCGAGGCAACGCGAAGAACCUCACCUGGGCUUGACAUCCGACGCUAUCCUGUGAAAGCAGGAGUUCUCGCAAGAGACGUCGAGACAGGUGCUGCAUGGCUGUCGUCAGCUCGUGUCGUGAGAUGUUGGGUUAAGUCCCGCAACGAGCGCAACCCUUGUCCUUAGUUGCCAGCAUUAAGUUGGGCACUCUAAGGAGACCGCUUGCCGAUAAGGCAGA